CAGUCGCCGCGGUAAUACAGAGGAUGCAAGCGUUAUCCGGAAUGAUUGGGCAUAAAGUGUCUGUAGGUGGCUUUUCAAGUCCGCCGUCAAAUCCCAGAGCUCAACCUAGGACAGGCGGUGGAAACUACCAAGCUGGAGGACGGUAGAGGCAGAGGGAAUUUCCGGUGGAGCGAUGAAAUGCGUUGAGAUCGGAAAGAACACCAACAGCGAAAGCACUCUGUUGGGCCGACACUGACACUGAGAGACGAAAGCUAGGGGAGCAAAUGGGAUUAGAUACCCGAGUAGUCCCUGUCUCUUAUAC
Molecule: ribosomal RNA, 301 nt
Filed under: uncultured bacterium
Lineage: Bacteria
Description: partial 16S ribosomal RNA
Rfam family: Bacterial small subunit ribosomal RNA
Source: RNAcentral